This 446-nucleotide ribosomal RNA is filed under the name uncultured bacterium. Its description in RNAcentral is "partial 16S ribosomal RNA". It matches the Rfam family "Bacterial small subunit ribosomal RNA", at positions 338 to 795 of the family's 1533-position model. The record is from RNAcentral.
CCUACGGGUGGCAGCAGUCGAGAAUCAUUCACAAUGGGGGAAACCCUGAUGGUGCGACGCCGCGUGGGGGAAUGAAGGUCUUCGGAUUGUAAACCCCUGUCAUGUGGGAGCAAAUUAAAAAGAUAGUACCACAAUAGGAAGAGACGGCUAACUCUGUGCCAGCAGCCGCGGUAAUACAGAGGUCUCAAGCGUUGUUCGGAAUCACUGGGCGUAAAGCGUGCGUAGGCUGUUUCGUAAGUCGUGUGUGAAAGGCGCGGGCUCAACCCGCGGACGGCACAUGAUACUGCGAGACUAGAGUAAGGGAGGGGGAACCGGAAUUCUCGGUGUAGCAGUGAAAUGCGUAGAUAUCGAGAGGAACACUCGUGGCGAAGGCGGGUUCCUGGACAUUAACUGACGCUGAGGCACGAAGGCCAGGGGAGCGAAAGGGAUUAGAUACCCGUGUAGUC